GCAGGGUGUUGUGGCGCACGCCUGUAAUCUUAGCAGCUUGGGAAGCUGAGGCAGAGGAUUGAGAGUUCAAAGCCGGCCUUAGCAAAAGCAAGGCUCUAAGCAAUUCAGUGAGACUCUGUCUCUA
This 124-nucleotide small RNA is filed under the name Marmota monax (woodchuck). The record is from RNAcentral. Lineage: Eukaryota; Metazoa; Chordata; Mammalia; Rodentia; Sciuridae.